This 226-nucleotide unclassified non-coding RNA is filed under the name Hevea brasiliensis (rubber tree). Lineage: Eukaryota; Viridiplantae; Streptophyta; Magnoliopsida; Malpighiales; Euphorbiaceae. The record is from RNAcentral.
ACACCACAAAAUACGCGCUCAAAAUGAAGAAGAAACAAGAGGAAGAGUGAAGCACAGAUGAGACUUCGUGAGGGUGAACGGAGACGAACGUGGAGAGGAUCGAGACGAGACCUCCUCAUUCUGCUUAACAAUAAGAUCUCAAUCUCGAUUUCUGGAUUUGAUUGAAGAUGACAAUCGAAGGUCAAUGCACUUUCUUUCUAAAUUCUCGGAGAUUUUUCAAAUGGAA